UGCCCGGUGGUCUAACUGGCAGGACACCUGAUUCUGGAUCAGGCCGGUAGAGGUUCGAAUCCUCUCUGGGCAGCCC
Molecule: transfer RNA, 76 nt
Filed under: Mycolicibacterium canariasense
Lineage: Bacteria; Bacillati; Actinomycetota; Actinomycetes; Mycobacteriales; Mycobacteriaceae
Also listed under: 1 other name
Description: tRNA-Gln
Rfam family: tRNA
About the family: Transfer RNA (tRNA) molecules are approximately 80 nucleotides in length. Their secondary structure includes four short double-helical elements and three loops (D, anti-codon, and T loops).
Source: RNAcentral